AAAAGGCAUGUAGUUGAGUUACGUUUUGUGAAAUUCUUCGCACAACGUAAAAGAUAAUCUAUACCUCUCACGUACGUAUAACGCUCGGGGAACUUGAAAAUCGAAUAUUUAAUGGCACAUGGCAUAUGAAAAUUUCAACAAAUCGGUGGCUUGCAUGAAUUAUUUCUUAAUUAAUAGAGAAACUACCUGUGUAUGAUUUUGUUUUAAUGUGUGAGAUGAUAUUUAAGAGAGGCUUGUUCUAUCAAUGUUCCAUCCUGGUAAUCUUUUAUUUUAUUUUCGGUCUGGCAACACGUACAAACUGCUGUAUAUAUAGGAUCUUCCUUAUAUCAAAAUUAAGUGCAAUAUUUUGUUUUAAAUAUGAGGGAUGGUUUCUGGAAAAAAUCUACGUCAUAGUGAAUGUCAGUAUUGAUCAUUAUCACAUAAGCCGUUUCUAUGUCAAACUUUGUUCAACGGUGAUGGCCAUCUUAAAUUUAGAUUGGCAACAAAAGCUAAACGUGGUGUUUGAUUUGGAUCAUUUCCACAAAAUUUUAAAUCAAUAAGUUCCAAAACUUCAAAGAAGAUUCUUCCAAUUUCAUAUGAUCCGAACACCAAGUUUUUGCCCUUGCAGCCGGCAUUUCCAACUUAUGAUCCGCAAAUUAAACUUUGUAAUUAAAGUUUGAGGAUUACUGCAGGAAAAGUUACAGACGUUGUACGAAGCACAAUGACAAUAACUCGUAUACUUUUUUUUUUUUUAAAGUUCUGCUAAGUAACUGACAGAAAAUAUAAUAGGUACACUGAGAAAGUAGAGGCGGAUUCCGGAUUUUUGAAAGGAUGUGUAAUUCCCGAAAUUUGUCAUGAUAUUUAUUGUCCAACGGAGCGAGGCGGAAUUUGUUUUGGACGAUUUUGAGCUAAAUUUUAUGAUAUAUUUUCCUAUCAUAAAGGCGUACUUCUCUUAUGUAAUUUUAAUUCUUUAUUUGAAAUGAUUUCUGCCUAGACUCCCGAGGCAUAGAUAAAUACUGGUACGUAAAUAAAAAUAGGACACAAAAUACCUAGGAAUCACCUAGGUUUAAAAAAAAAAAAAAAAAAUCAAGGACGUAUAACUAACAAAACAAAAAAAAAACAAUGUAGAAAAACGGGAAUAAAGUCCACAAGUUUUUCAAACUUCUAAUUUUUACUUUUUAAUUCCAAUCUUUAAUAAAAUUUAAUAGUAUAUAUGAAAAGUUGAUCUUAUAGUUUUAUUAGCCACAAAAGGACAUUUUCUGUCUUUGAUCUAACAUGUGACUCACAUGUCCAUAUAUAGCCAUGCACACUUUUCGAAAACCCACCCCUAAUGAUGUCACAUAACUUUCAGGAUCGGAAUCGAUUGAUGAAAAUGUUAUGCAAAAAUGCUGAUCAAUAUUUUUUCAUAGUCAUCAGAAAUAUAUUUUUCAAAUUCAUUUCAAGUUGAGUGAUCGCCAGUUUAAUAUAAAAGUUUAGGUAAAAGCAGCAUAAUAUGCCAUACAUUUCGUUUCGAUUUCGAUCCUACAUGGUUUCACCUGUCCUAUCAAACCGGAACUAGUUUUAUUCUCUUUUUCUUUCAAGAUGGCUAUGUCAGGAGUUGGACUCGGUGAUAGCGUUGUAACCACAUAUGACACCAAACUGAAAACGAAGCACUUAUUAGACGCUUUGGUUCUGAAAAUAAAUAAGGAAGAAAAGAGGCAAAUUGUUACAGAACAGGAAUUUGAAUGCGGAACCUUACCCUUUGAAGAACUGAAGAAGUUUCUUCCGCCGAAAGAACCAAGAUACGUUUUAUACGAUUACAACUACACCACAGAAAAUGGACAAAAACAUAGUAAAAUUAUUCUUGUUUCGUGGAGUCCAGAUGAAGCUCCAAUGAAAGAAAAGAUGAUAUAUGCAUCCAGUAAAGACGCUGUAAAAAAGAAAUUACAGGCUAUAAAAAUAGAAGUGCAAGCAAAUGACCUGGGUGAUUUAGACGAGGCAGAUAUUGAAGCUAAAUUGAAAAAAAUUUAGGAACUAUAUUGACUGCAUUGUGUAUAAAACUUUCAAACAUAGCUCUUUAUGAAUCAUAACUUUACUGCUUAAUGAACAAACUUUGUGUCACUAACAAGUGGCAGUGCAGUUAUUCAAAUUGGUGCACUCAUUGACUGUUGCCAUGGAAAUGCCACUUCCUUUAAAGUACAUCAAGAAAUAUCAGCUUUCGUUUAUCCUGCUUCAGUUAGCCGAGUUUGUGUGGUGAAACAUUUGUGUCAGUUUGUUGGCAAGGAGUUUGACCCAGAGAACUUUAAAUCGUGAUGAAUAAAAUUUGUUUCGUUUAAAUUGUUUGUGAAACUGUGUUAAAAGGAAAAUUAAGACUUGAACAUUGAAUUAAUUAAUGUUUGUUAUUUAAAUAUUGUUUUUCCUGUACAGUCAUUUUUAUAUGUAUGUUGAAGAUAGGAUUGUCAGUUUAAGACAUAUCUGGUAUGAACAGGAAUACGUCCGCACAAGGGAAAAUUUGUCAAAUGAUGAGAUUGCCAUGAACAAUAAUAGAUAAAAACAGACAAAAACAGUGUAGGAAAUACACAAGAUUUUCUACAAAUUUUUGUAUAAAUGUCAAUUUACAAAUAUCAAAAGUAUAAUUAAACUAUAAAAUGCAGAACAAAGAAAAAAAUUUCCCUCCCUCUCUUUUGUAAAAUGUUUUCUAUACAUGCUAAUCUUUGCUGAUACAUUUAAUGAAUUUGAAUGUUUGUUUUUUGUUUUUAUUUUGCACAAAAGAAUCAUUUGAUAUAAUGUAACUUGUUUUUCUUUAUAAUUGUUGAUGACAUUUGUUAGUACUUUGGCAACAGUCAUUUUCUGUUUCUGUCAGAAAUAAAUUGUAGAACAGGUCUUUUUAACUGAAGACAAGUUCCAGUAUUCCAAUGUGAAUUAAAAGAAGAAAUAAUAAGCCUCCCACCUCAUAAACUUUGUUUUGAAUUUGUUAAGCUGUCCAGUGAUGGUUAUUUUGUAUGGCCUAAUGUGAAUUACUGUUUAUUUUCACAGAAUUAUAGUGCUUAAAUAUCAUAUCAUAAUGUCCACGACAUAUGUGGAUAGACUUUCAUAAACAGGGUUGUAUCAUUUCAAUAGCCAUUAUCUUAGAAAAGAGGGAUAGACUUCUGUUAUUUAUAGCAUUAAUCAUUUGCCACUGGACAUUAAGUAAACAUCGAUCGAUCAAAUAAUCUGUUAUUUAAAGGGUUUGCUUGAACAAAUCAUAACGGGGAAAAUUUAAUAAAACAAUGGUAUUGAAUUUUUAUUUUAUUAAAAAUAUUUAUGUAAAAAGACAAAGCAAAAUUGAAACGUUGAAUAUUUCUAAAAAAUCUCUUUGAAAUUAUCUCUACGUGUGUUUUAUGUAAAACAAAAGUUGUUCAAACAACAAUAAAUCAGUUAAUAUUAAAGCUAGUCAUUAUGAUAUGUGUAUUUUAUGUGAACAAUCAAAAUAUAUAAUGUCUGUGUUUGUUUGUUAGGACCCACUAAGCCAAAGGUAGUAUAGAAAUCUCUCUCUCUCUCUCUCACAUAGAAAUGACACAACCCUGUGAUGGAGCCUCUUGUUUGUAAUUUAUUUUUGAUAGAACGGAAGGAAGCAGGAUACUAUAAUCUGUUUAACAAAUAAUGGGACAAUUAAUAAUCAAUAAAACUUUUGAUACUUCUUA
This is a long non-coding RNA of Mytilus californianus (California mussel), 3641 nucleotides long. RefSeq lists it as uncharacterized. NCBI's taxonomy places the organism in Eukaryota, Metazoa, Mollusca, Bivalvia, Mytilida, Mytilidae. The transcript is spliced from 2 exons. The record is from RefSeq and is a predicted model, not a curated record.